CCUACGGGAGGCAGCAGUGGGAAGAGUGGGCAAGGGGCGAAAGCCGGACCCAGAAAGGGCGAAUGAAUGAAGAAGGGCUUAGGAUUGUAAAAGUCUGUUCUAUGGGAAGAAAAAAAUGACGGUACCACAGGAGGAAGCCCCGGCUAACUACGUGCCAGCAGCCGCGGUAAUACGGAGGGGGCGAGCGUUGUCCGGAAUUACUGGGGGUAAAGAGAGCGUAGGCGGCACUACAAGUCUCAUGUGAAAUAACCGGGCUUAACUUGGGGGUUGCAUGGGAAACUGUAGAGCUUGAGUACAGGAGAGGCAAGCGGAAUUCCUAGUGUAGCGGUGAAAUGCAUAGAUAUUAGGAGGAACACCAGUGGCGAAGGCGGCUUGCUGGACUGCAACUGACGCUGAGGCUCGAAAGCGUGGGGAGCAAACAGGAUUAGAUACCCGUGUAGUC
Molecule: ribosomal RNA, 442 nt
Filed under: uncultured bacterium
Lineage: Bacteria
Description: partial 16S ribosomal RNA
Rfam family: Bacterial small subunit ribosomal RNA
Source: RNAcentral